GGUCCCAUAGCUCAGCGGAAGAGCGCUCGCCUCACACGCGAGAGGUCGCUGGUUCGAACCCAGCUGGGACCACCA
This 75-nucleotide transfer RNA is filed under the name Gordonia sp. (in: high G+C Gram-positive bacteria). Its description in RNAcentral is "tRNA-Val". It matches the Rfam family "tRNA". From Rfam's summary of the family: Transfer RNA (tRNA) molecules are approximately 80 nucleotides in length. Their secondary structure includes four short double-helical elements and three loops (D, anti-codon, and T loops). Further hydrogen bonds mediate the characteristic L-shaped molecular structure. tRNAs have two regions of fundamental functional importance: the anti-codon, which is responsible for specific mRNA codon recognition, and the 3' end, to which the tRNAs corresponding amino acid is attached (by aminoacyl-tRNA synthetases). tRNAs cope with the degeneracy of the genetic code in two manners: having more than one tRNA (with a specific anti-codon) for a particular amino acid; and 'wobble' base-pairing, i.e. permitting non-standard base-pairing at the 3rd anti-codon position. The record is from RNAcentral. Lineage: Bacteria; Bacillati; Actinomycetota; Actinomycetes; Mycobacteriales; Gordoniaceae. RNAcentral also lists the same sequence under 2 other names.